GCUGCUUUCAGAAAUAUUUAUUAGAUUUUUUUUCUCUUGAAGCCAGCUUCUUCAACUGUCAUAGAAAAAUCAUUUGCACAGAAUUUGCAUCUUCUUUCACCAAUUAAAAUAUUCAGGUACAAACAGGAAAAUCUGCAUAUAUAACAUUAUAAAUGUAGCACAGCCAAAAGUCUGAUAUCAGCUGUAAUACGAUGAAGUUAAUGUGUUAAUUGAGCUGUUUGUGUCACAAAAUCUUCUGCUGAGUCAAACAAAAUGAAACCUUUGUUUAAAUCUGUUAGCUGAACUGUUACCGGAGUUGUUUUUGUGAACAGUAAGGCUUCAACGAGAAAACCACCUCACACAUUGCACCAGAACCCGUUCAUGCACCACAACGCUCGCUGAGAGGCUGAAAGGCUUCAGACUAAAUAUCAUCAACUGAUGUUUAUAUCAUCCGUAUGGGCAAAUCCAGCAGGCACAUGAAACCAGACGAUAUAAACAUCACCGAGUGUUCUUUCUGUGCCGAGGCAGUGCUGACUUAAAUUUAGAAAGACGAUGACAUGGAAGAAACUAUCUUAAAAUAUAUUAACUAAAAAAUAAAAUCUUAUCUGUUUCUUUAUAUUGCAUAGACAAGUGAUCCUUCGUCGCCCUGCAGUGCAAACCUGAGGGCCGUUUAACACACGUACCAGACUUAUACAUUCACAGUUGUCCCUCAUAUUCCCUGAAAAUAAACCAUAUAUUUUCCUCCCAGUAAACACACAUCCCUUUAAUGAACAGCAUAAACCACACCUGGACUGUACACCUCAUUCAUCCUAGAUAAAACAAGACACCACGAGGAUUAACAAACACAAAAUGAAUCAAAAACACAAUAAAAACCACAACAUUGUUCAGUAAAACGGUUGGUGACCUCAUCACACGGGCAAUUUUGGUGAAGGUGACUGGCUUCUACCGAGGGCAAGACUCAUCUGGAAGACAGAGAGACGGAGGGGUGAAUUUUAAAUCUGAUUUUAUUUAGCAGUUUGGAAUCUUCCCAUUCAGUGACAUUUAUGGCUUCACGAGGCCCAUAAAUGCAACCACAACUUUUCCAUUUGCUCUCCUGUAAUUAUCACCUUUAAUUAAAUUACAAUAUUCACAAGUUCUGGGUGAUUUUUAGUCCUCGUUUAUUCAUUUUACUGAGCUUGCCCACAAUGCUAAACCUGCUGGUAUUUGUGAAAAUCGGUCAGUUUUUGAUUUAAAGGACAAGAGUUGAGUUAUUCCAUAUUUCUCUUAUAGUCAACAAAUCACGUUAAAAGGACAAAACCUUUAAAAAUGGUGCAGUUUGUUUAACUUGAUGUGUUCUGACAUGCUAAUUUGUGCCGUAGUGAGUGGCCAUUUCUGUGCUAAUUAGCUAAAAGUCUGAAGGCUAGCAUGUUAGCUGUGUUCCGUAAUUAACCCACAUUUAACUUCUUCUGUUGGAGCAAAAACUUCCUUAAAAAAUAAAGAAAUAAUGGAAAGACAACUAUGAGACAGAUACAAAUACUCCUUAACUUUUGAAUCAACCUACUACCAUUAGUAAUCAAGCUAAUAGACAUGCUAAUCGACUGCUAGGUCGCUAACUUUGAGAGAUUUUUACUGCAUCAGUUGCUCCUAUGGAAGCAAUUUGUGUAAAAUUCUGGCAAAUAAUUGCCAAAAGUGAUUAAAGUGUAAAUUUAAAAGAGUUAAGUGAGGUAUUGUGACUGAAUAGUGCUUUUACAUGUCACUUAAUACUAUCUAAAUUUCCAUAGCAUUUAGUCAAAAGCCAUUCUUUUUCUACUGAAGAUAUAUUUAUUGGGUCACAAAGACUUUUUUACCUUUUUAAAAUGCUCAGUAAUUUCCUAAAUAGCUCGGAACUGUAAUUUUUUUUAGCAAACGUUUCAGAAAGCAUCAGAUUUUUGGCAAACAGUUGCGGUUAACCUUCAACAAUGUUGUCACUAAUCAGCAGCAGGGCCAUAUUUUCAUGGUUUGUGGCAAACUUGCAGUGGACUUCUGGCUAGCUUUCUGGACAUCAUUGGCAACAGUCUAAUCCAUAAUGGAGCCCAGCUAACACUGGCCAACAGCCAUUCAUGCUAACGUUUACACCAUUUAACCCUCCUGUUGUCCUCAUUUACAGGCACCAAAAAAUAUUGUUUCCUUGUCUGACAAAAAUCUAAAAAUUCAGCAAAAAAAUUCCCCAAAUUUCAGAAAAUUUGCAAAAGAAAAUUCCAAUAAUUCCUUAAAAGUUUCCCUUAAAAGUUUUAUUUUUAAAAAAUCCCCCAAAUUUGUCAAGAAAAUUCUUGGAAAUAUUUUCAAAAACUGAGUAAAAAUCUUCCAAAAAAAUCCUAAAAAUACCUUAAGUGAUUACAUACAUACCAGUAAAACUUUUAAUGUUUUCUUUAAGAACAUUCACAAAAAAAAUCAAGAUUUUUUUGUGAAUGUUCUUAAGACACAUUUUUAAUAUUUCUUUUUUCCAUCAAAAAAUGUUCAAAAAUUUUCCAAAAAUGUUCAAAAUGUGGACAUCAGAAGUUUCACUGUGAAAAUAUAUUUUAUUCCACAUUUUCAAACUUUAAAACAGAUCAUUUUUGACCCACAGGACGACACGAGGGUUAACCUAACAUGCAUGUCUAUGGACUGUGGGAGUAGGACAAAAAAAAAAAAAAGUCCACCUCUAGUUUGCCACAGAUCUAGUUUUCAUAUGAAAAUAUGGCUGCAAAUUUGCCAAACUGUCGGUCAGAAACCAGUAUUGCCAGAGAUGCCAUGUUUGCCAAUGAUGAACUCAUUAUUAGUUAAGUGGCAAAUUUCUCUUUACUUCCAGAAUGUUGCUGGACAUUUGCCACUCAUGCAAAAAAAAAAAAAAAGAAUUGUAAACGUGACAAAAUUUCAUGGAAAACAAAAGUCUUUGCUGCAAAUCCCCUGCUACUUGACUGUUAACAUCUUGGUUUUGUAAGGGAGGCAUAAAUGCAUUUGCUGGCAGCUAUUUUUAGCUGCGGAUUAGCACACAUUUAGCGCUCUGCUGAGUAUUUAAAGAGCAGGAUGGUGUCUGUGAGAUGGACUAUGAAAAACUACAAUCUUUAUAAAGAAAAAACACGUCACUAAACACAGCAGUGUGCAGUUUUUGGUACAGCGAUGAAGGUUAAUGCACAGUGACUUGACUACUUCCAUACUUCUUGUUGGGAUCAUUAAUGGUUUUGCUCUUUCUGCAUGAUUUGUUGACUGUAAGAAAACUACAGAACAUCACCAGCCUCAUCCUGAGGAAGGUUCAGGCCUGUAAAUUCAUCUUCACAUACAGAGUGCUGUCACUAGACUUUAUGCUUUUUGAGAAGGGGGUGACACUGACCCACUCUUAGACGUGGCCCUGUUGUGAUCCCGGUGCUCCUGGUGCUCUUCAGCACCACCGGUCCUGCCUCCACCUCGCCUUCCUCCUCCUGCACAUCCUCCCCCUGCAGCCUCUCCAUCCUGCCCAGUUCAUGGGGGAAGGAGGUGAAGGUCAGCAUGAAGGUCUCCGACGGAUACUCACACACCUGCUCCAGCUGGUCCUCGUCGAAACACACCUUCCCC
Molecule: long non-coding RNA, 3528 nt
Organism: Amphiprion ocellaris (clown anemonefish)
Lineage: Eukaryota; Metazoa; Chordata; Actinopteri; Pomacentridae
Source: Ensembl